RNAcentral lists this ribosomal RNA (519 nucleotides) under uncultured bacterium. RNAcentral describes it as "partial 16S ribosomal RNA". It matches the Rfam family "Bacterial small subunit ribosomal RNA", at positions 28 to 507 of the family's 1533-position model. The record is from RNAcentral.
GACGAACGCUGGCGGCGUGCCUAAUACAUGCAAGUCGAGCGAGCUUGCCUAGAUGAAUUUGGUGCUUGCACCAGAUGAAACUAGAUACAAGCGAGCGGCGGACGGGUGAGUAACACGUGGGUAACCUGCCCAAGAGACUGGGAUAACACCUGGAAACAGAUGCUAAUACCGGAUAACAACACUAGACGCAUGUCUAGAGUUUAAAAGAUGGUUCUGCUAUCACUCUUGGAUGGACCUGCGGUGCAUUAGCUAGUUGGUAAGGCAACGGCUUACCAAGGCAAUGAUGCAUAGCCGAGUUGAGAGACUGAUCGGCCACAUUGGGACUGAGACACGGCCCAAACUCCUACGGGAGGCAGCAGUAGGGAAUCUUCCACAAUGGACGCAAGUCUGAUGGAGCAACGCCGCGUGAGUGAAGAAGGGUUUCGGCUCGUAAAGCUCUGUUGGUAGUGAAGAAAGAUAGAGGUAGUAACUGGCCUUUAUUUGACGGUAAUUACUUAGAAAGUCACGGCUAGCUACGUG